RNAcentral lists this unclassified non-coding RNA (622 nucleotides) under Hevea brasiliensis (rubber tree). Lineage: Eukaryota; Viridiplantae; Streptophyta; Magnoliopsida; Malpighiales; Euphorbiaceae. The record is from RNAcentral.
GGGAGAGGGAAGAACAGAGGCGGAUAAGGGAAGAGAGCAGGGCUGAAAGGAGAGAUGCUCUGCUGACUACUCUGCUGAGCAAACUAGUUCACGAAAAUGAUAUCGAUGGUAUAUAGGUCAGUGGGAUUCUCUCAUCGAUCGCUCCAUUGCUUGGCAAUUUUGUGGUUAUUUGCUUGUUUUAUUUUGGGUAAUCAAUAGAGAGUUUGAUGAUGGCUAUCGCUUGUGAAAAUGACAAUGUUGACAAACCCUUUUUAAUUUGAAUUUUUGUUGUGAAAAAAAAGGGGAAAAUCUAGAAAGAGAAUAUGAACAGGAAAAACUUGUUCAAUUUCUAUUAGUUUUUGCAUACAAGGUGGAACUUUUUCUUUGGUCGAAGUUGACAUCUACAGGCCUGGUUCAGAGAAAUUCAUGUGUUGCUGUUAAGCUGGAGAAACUGUAUGUUCUUAUGUUUACAGCUCUUGGGACUUGUACAUAAUUUUUCUCUUGGAAGAAAAUCAAACUGAAAUUUAUAUGUUAAAUGUUUACAUUUUUUUUUUCAAUUGAAUCAAGUAGCUGUUUUGUUAGAUGUAAUACUGUUAUGAAGUGAUUGGAUCAAAGGAAAAUUAAGAUGUUACGGGGUUUUUCC